GCCAGGUGCAGUGGCGCAUGCCUGUAAUCCAAGCUCCUCCUUGGGAGGAUGAGGCAGGAGGAUCACGAGUUCAAAGCCAGCCUAAGUAAUAGUGAGACGCUAAGCAACUCACUGAGACCCUGCCUCUA
This 128-nucleotide small RNA is filed under the name Marmota monax (woodchuck). Lineage: Eukaryota; Metazoa; Chordata; Mammalia; Rodentia; Sciuridae. The record is from RNAcentral.